Molecule: ribosomal RNA, 346 nt
Filed under: uncultured fungus
Lineage: Eukaryota; Fungi
Description: SSU rRNA
Rfam family: Eukaryotic small subunit ribosomal RNA
Source: RNAcentral
GUAGUCAUAUGCUUGUCUCAAAGAUUAAGCCAUGCAUGUCUAAGUAUAAGCAAUUAUACCGUGAAACUGCGAAUGGCUCAUUAAAUCAGUUAUCGUUUAUUUGAUAGUACCUUACUACUUGGAUAACCGUGGUAAUUCUAGAGCUAAUACAUGCUUAAAACCCCAACUUCGGGAGGGGUGUAUUUAUUAGAUAAAAAACCAACGCCCUUCGGGGCUUCUUGGUGAUUCAUGAUAACUUUUCGGAUCGCAUGGCCUUGCGCCGGCGACGGUUCAUUCAAAUUUCUGCCCUAUCAACUUUCGAUGGUAAGGUAUUGGCUUACCAUGGUUUCAACGGGUAACGGGGAAU